GACGAACGCUGGCGGCGUGCUUAACCCAUGCAAGUCGAACGGUAAGGCCCUUCGGGGUACACGAGUGGCGAACGGGUGAGUAACACGUGGGUUAUCUGCCCUGCACUUCGGGAUAAGCCUGGGCAACUGGGUUUAAUCCCGGAUAGGCCCAUGCGCUUCCCGGUGUGGGGUGGAAAGCUUGUGCGGUGUGGGAUGGGCCCGCGGCCUAUCAUCUUGUUGGGGGGGUAAUGGCCUACCAAGGCGACGACGGGUAGCCGGCCUGAGAGGGUGACCGGCCACACUGGGACUGAGAUACGGCCCAGACUCCUACGGGAGGCAGCAGUGGGGAAUAUUGCACAAUGGGCGCAAGCCUGAUGCAGCGACGCCGCGUGAGGGAUGACGGCCUUCGGGUUGUAAACCUCUUUCAGCACCGACGAAGCGCAAGUGACGGUAGGUGCAGAAGAAGGACCGGCCAACUACGUGCCAGCCGCCGCGGUAA
Molecule: ribosomal RNA, 478 nt
Filed under: uncultured bacterium
Lineage: Bacteria
Description: partial 16S ribosomal RNA
Rfam family: Bacterial small subunit ribosomal RNA
Source: RNAcentral